UUCGGAGGCGGAGGAUAUAUGGACAAGAUAUUGCAGAGGAAGAUCAACUAGCGGCAAACCUUGAUUUCAUGAAGAUUAGGUUUGCAGGUUUCUGAGCUGGAGAGGAACCAUCCGAUCCCAGUAGAUUUUAUGAUUGCUGAAGAGACUACCGUUUUGGUCAUAACUGGCCCGAAUACAGGGGGAAAACAAUCAGCUUGAAGACGGUUGGGCUGGCAGCGUUAAUGGCUAAGAUAGCUCUAAUCGUGUGAAGUGGGAUGAGGACAAUCUGUAUGAGUUUGAAUCAAGCAAGCCAGUGAGACAGAAGAUACCUGAGCCCAAGACAUAGUAUCACCCUAUUAUGAUAGAUGAUGAUGGUCGCCCGUUCGCUGGGAUUGCCGCAGUUGCUUCGGUUCGACUGCUCUUCGGUUGCUGCUGUGGUUGUGAACACCCCGGCUACUCCCAUGUUCCUACUCACGGGUCCUGAUGUCCAUGCGCCCAACUUUUUAGAAGACAGUGAAUUGAUAGUAAAGGGUCUUCCCCAGCUAUCAAUUCCCUUUGCCACAAUCACAAUUAGCAGCAAACAUGUGCUAAAAAAGGCAGCAAAGAAACUUGGUGUAUCAAUCUAUGGAUAUACUUUUACAUCCUUAGGUGAUGAAGACAUAACUGCAUCAGUUACCAUGGAUGUGCCACCGCACAGAGAAAAUCCACUCUUGAAAAUACGGGAGUUUUAUGGAAAAUGGACAACAUUCAAGAAUGAGGCUAAGGAGUCCGCGUGUCUUACUGCGUUAACCUAUCUGAAAGAUGCAGGCCUCAUAGCAUGACACCAACUUUGCUGACAUGGUAAAGUACAAGCGCAAGUUCGAGGAGGAACAUUUCUGGUCUUCUGCAUUCUAUGAGCGUGCAAAUUCACUAAAAGAACGAUCAGGGCUACACUAUCGGUCCCGUAAGGCACUUUUUCUAGGGAAGUAAUACCAGCUCUGUGAACUAUAAGGCAAGUACUUCAUGAUGUGGCCUAUAAUCCUCGAUGGUUCCUGUUAGGCUGUUACGAGCUUAUCUCGUGGGUACCAGGUGGAAAGCUUAUCACUAUCUAGGUGUUUUGUACUAUCCCGACGUCCGCUGGUAGUCAGCGUGCUUCCUUUGCUGCUUCGCCAAGCUAACGGAUAGGGUUCAUCGCCUUGGCGCACACUGCUGCUCCCUCCGCGCACUGUGCUACAGAGCCAAGCUAAAAUGAUGCCUUCGGUUCCUACCUCCAUGGUUUACUAGUCGUAUCUUCUGUCUAUACCCUCUUUCGUAUAGGCGUGGCUGCUCUACAGACUCACUUUUGUAAGAAAUUCUCCGCACCUGUAGAACAAUAUUAGCACUAGCUUAACCAGCACCUAUUUCUACCUAUCUAUGUUACCGUGUGGUUCUA
Molecule: non-coding RNA, 1390 nt
Organism: Lolium perenne
Lineage: Eukaryota; Viridiplantae; Streptophyta; Magnoliopsida; Poales; Poaceae
Source: RefSeq, a predicted model, not a curated record